Octopus sinensis (East Asian common octopus) is the source of this 103-nucleotide small nuclear RNA. NCBI's taxonomy places the organism in Eukaryota, Metazoa, Mollusca, Cephalopoda, Octopoda, Octopodidae. The record is from RefSeq and is a predicted model, not a curated record.
GUGUUAGUGCAUCAAUACAUAUACUAAAAUAGGGACGAUACAGAGAUUAACGUGGCCCCUGCAAAAAGAUGUCACGCAAAUUCGUAAAGUAUUUCAUUUUAUU